This 482-nucleotide ribosomal RNA is filed under the name uncultured bacterium. RNAcentral's name for it is "bacterial SSU rRNA". It matches the Rfam family "Bacterial small subunit ribosomal RNA", at positions 30 to 506 of the family's 1533-position model. The record is from RNAcentral.
UUGAACGCUGGCGGCAUGCUUUACACAUGCAAGUCGAACGGCAGCGGGGGCUUCGGCCUGCCGGCGAGUGGCGAACGGGUGAGUAAUGCAUGGGAAUCUGCCUGAUAGUGGGGGACAACGCGGGGAAACUCGCGCUAAUACCGCAUACGCCCUACGGGGGAAAGAGGGGGAUCUUCGGACCUCUUGCUAUCAGAUGAGCCCAUGUCGGAUUAGCUAGUUGGUAGGGUAAAGGCCUACCAAGGCGACGAUCCGUAGCUGGUCUGAGAGGACGAUCAGCCACACUGGGACUGAGACACGGCCCAGACUCCUACGGGAGGCAGCAGUGGGGAAUAUUGGACAAUGGGGGCAACCCUGAUCCAGCAAUACCGCGUGUGUGAAGAAGGCCUGCGGGUUGUAAAGCACUUUCAGUUGGAAAGAAAAGCCUGAGGCUAAUAUCCUUGGGUCUUGACGUUACCAACAGAAGAAGCACCGGCUAACUCCGU